UACGGAGGGUGCAAGCGUUGCUCGGAAUGAUUGGGCGUAAAGCGUCCGCAGGUGGCAGUUCAAGUCUGCUGUCAAAGACCGGGGCUUAACUUCGGAAAGGCAGUGGAAACUGAACAGCUAGAGUAUGGUAGGGGCAGAGGGAAUUCCUGGUGUAGCGGUGAAAUGCGUAGGGAUCAGGAAGAACAUCGGUGGCGAAGGCGCUCUGCUGGACCAUAACUGACACUCAGGGACGAAAGCUAGGGGAGCGAAUGGG
RNAcentral lists this ribosomal RNA (253 nucleotides) under uncultured bacterium. RNAcentral's name for it is "partial 16S ribosomal RNA". It matches the Rfam family "Bacterial small subunit ribosomal RNA", at positions 524 to 776 of the family's 1533-position model. The record is from RNAcentral.